This 432-nucleotide ribosomal RNA is filed under the name uncultured bacterium. RNAcentral describes it as "bacterial SSU rRNA". It matches the Rfam family "Bacterial small subunit ribosomal RNA", at positions 29 to 507 of the family's 1533-position model. The record is from RNAcentral.
AACGAACGCUGGCGGCAGGCCUAACACAUGCAAGUCGAGCGCCCCGCAAGGGGAGCGGCGGACGGGUGAGUAACGCGUGGGAACGUGCCCCAAGGUACGGAAUAGCCCCGGGAAACUGGGGGUAAUACCGUAUGUGCCCUACGGGGGAAAGAUUUAUCGCCUUGGGAUCGGCCCGCGUUGGAUUGGGUAGUUGGUGGGGUAAUGGCCUACCAAGCCGACGAUCCAUAGCUGGUUUGAGAGGAUGAUCAGCCACACUGGGACUGAGACACGGCCCAGACUCCUACGGGAGGCAGCAGUGGGGAAUCUUAGACAAUGGGCGCAAGCCUGAUCUAGCCAUGCCGCGUGAGCGAUGAAGGCCUUAGGGUUGUAAAGCUCUUUCAGGGGGGGAAGAUAAUGACUGUACCCCCAGAAGAAGCCCCGGCUAACUCCGUG